Molecule: ribosomal RNA, 316 nt
Filed under: uncultured soil bacterium
Lineage: Bacteria
Description: bacterial SSU rRNA
Rfam family: Bacterial small subunit ribosomal RNA
Source: RNAcentral
AAGUCCCGUAACGAGCGCAACCCUCGUCCUCUGUUGCCAUCAGGUCAAGCUGGGCACUCUGAGGAGACUGCCGGUGAUAAACCGGAGGAAGGUGGGGAUGACGUCAAGUCAGCAUGGCCUUUAUGUCCAGGGCCACACACGUGCUACAAUGGCGGAUACAAAGCGCUGCAAGCCCGCGAGGGUGAGCCAAUCGCAUAAAGUCCGUCUCAGUUCGGAUUGCGGGCUGCAACUCGCCUGCAUGAAGUUGGAAUCGCUAGUAAUCGCGGAUCAGCAUGCCGCGGUGAAUACGUUCCCGGGCCUUGUACACACCGCCCGU